Caenorhabditis elegans is the source of this 150-nucleotide non-coding RNA. The record is from Ensembl. Lineage: Eukaryota; Metazoa; Nematoda; Chromadorea; Rhabditida; Rhabditidae.
CUAUUCCAUCCUUCUCCAUCUCCAAGGUACUAAUUCAUUAUGUAAAUUUGUCGGGAGAAAGCUCAUUCAAAAGGUGACGAAGUCCACAAGGGCCCGGUGCAAAUAACAAGGACCCUCUUCCCCCACACGCCCGCAGGUGAAUUAUUCCUG